GAUGAACGCUAGCGGCAGGCCUAAUACAUGCAAGUCGGACGGGAUUCAGGAGCUUGCUUCUGAUGAGAGUGGCGCACGGGUGCGUAACACGUAUGUAACCUACCUUUAUCAGGGGGAUAGCCUCUCGAAAGAGAGAUUAAGCCCGCAUAAAAUCACAGCACAGCAUUGUGUAAUGAUCAAAUAUUUAUAGGAUAAAGAUGGGCAUGCGGAACAUUAGCUAGAUGGCGGGGUAACGGCCCACCAUGGCGACGAUGUUUAGGGGAUCUGAGAGGGUGGCCCCCCACACUGGUACUGAGACACGGACCAGACUCCUACGGGAGGCAGCAGUAAGGAAUAUUGGUCAAUGGGCGGAAGCCUGAACCAGCCAUGCCGCGUGCAGGAAGACGGCCCUACGGGUUGUAAACUGCUUUUAUACGGGAAUAAACCCAGAUACGUGUAUCUGGCUGAAUGUACUGUAAGAAUAAGGAUCGGCUAACUCCGUG
This 482-nucleotide ribosomal RNA is filed under the name uncultured bacterium. RNAcentral describes it as "partial 16S ribosomal RNA". It matches the Rfam family "Bacterial small subunit ribosomal RNA", at positions 28 to 507 of the family's 1533-position model. The record is from RNAcentral.